Long non-coding RNA from Schistocerca americana (American grasshopper), 468 nucleotides. RefSeq lists it as uncharacterized. NCBI's taxonomy places the organism in Eukaryota, Metazoa, Arthropoda, Insecta, Orthoptera, Acrididae. The transcript is spliced from 2 exons. The record is from RefSeq and is a predicted model, not a curated record.
CCGCGCAUGCGCACUAGGCUGCGAAACUUGCACAUGCGCAGGAGCGGGUACCGCAGUGCUUUCUGCUUGUUGUUUAUGGUUGGGUGUGUAGAGGCAAAUUACAGUUUUUCGUGUAGGAGAUUUUCCGCAUUUUUUUCAGUAAGUAGGUUUUCAUAAAUGCAGUUAAAAAUAGUAUUUUUUUGCCAGUUGACUUUCUUUUAUACUAGCUGUUUGUGAACGCUUAUUGUUCUAUUUAUUGCUUCAUAUUCUAGAAAUGGAAUGGAACAAACAAGCUUUAAGCAUCCUCAUUCAGGCAUACAGCGAAGAAAAGUGUAUGUACAACCCGCAGGACCCGCGAUAUCAUAAGAAUGCCAGGAAAGAGAAACUGGCAGUGAUAGGCAGUAAAGUUCGCGCAGUUUUGCCCAAUGCAACAGAUGAGGAGUGCAAAACUCGAUUCAUGCCUCUGCGGUCGCACUUUUGUGGGGAGCU